CUUUUAUCUAAAACGCAAGCAAUAAAACGGAUAACGGGUGGCUCCCUCUGAAUUUCAGUCAGCCGUAAGCUGAGAGAGUGGCCAACGCCGGAAUCUGGUCUCGCCGGCGGCAGGUUUUCAUUUCGUGUUUGUAACCGAUUGAUGGUAGAAGAAGAUCAGAGACUACAGAAAUGGCAUUUGUAGGAUUGAGAUGCAUUCGGACCCAACCUUUCUUGCUUCACCCUGCUGCUUUGUUUACAAAAAGGAGGAGAGUUUUGUAUUUCUCUGUGAAAUCCUCUCAAUCCCAAACAGCAACUCAAGAAAAGCAAAGGCCUAUAGCAAUUUCACCACAUUUUGAUAAACAGAUUAUUGAUAGAAUCUCCAAGGAUUAUGAAGCUAUUAUUGGCAUUGAAACCCAUGUUCAGCUCUCCACUCUCACCAAGGCCUUCUGCAGCUGCCCUUACAAUUAUGGUGUUUCACCGAACACGAAUAUCUGCCCCAUCUGCAUGGGGCUUCCUGGUGCCUUGCCUGUUUUGAACACAAAAGUGAUUGAGUUUGCAGUGAAGUUGGGUCUUGCACUAAACUGCAGUUUGUCUUUCAACUCAAAGUUUGAUAGGAAACAGUACUUUUACCCAGAUCUUCCCAAGGGCUAUCAAAUAUCUCAGUUUGAUAUCCCAAUUGCGAGUGGCGGUUUUAUUGACCUUGAUCUUCCUAUUGAGUAUGGUGGGGGGCAUAGGCGGUUUGGUAUCACCAGGGUUCACAUGGAAGAGGAUGCUGGAAAGCUGCUUCACUCUGAAAGUGGAAGCUACUCUCAGGUUGACUUGAACAGGGCAGGAGUGCCCUUGCUUGAGAUUGUUUCUGAACCUGACAUGAGAACUGGGAUUGAAGCUGCAGAGUAUGCUGCUGAGUUACAGAGGUUGGUUCGAUAUUUGGGUGUAAGUAAUGGAAACAUGCAAGAAGGUUCCCUUCGGUGCGAUGUGAAUGUGUCGGUUCGACCUAUUGGGCAGUCACAGUUUGGAACAAAGGUGGAGAUAAAAAACUUGAACUCAUUUUCAUCCAUGAGCAGAGCAAUUGAUUUUGAGAUUUCAAGACAAGUGCUUCUCCAUAGUCAAGGCCAAAGUGAUCAAAUUGUACAGGAAACCAGACUCUGGGAAGAAGGCGCUCAGAAAACAAUUACAAUGAGGAAAAAGGAAGGACUUUCUGAUUAUCGAUAUUUUCCAGAACCUGAUCUCCCCGAAGUCAUUCUCACAAAAGAAUAUGUUGAUAAUAUCCGUGAUUCUUUGCCUGAACUUCCAGAAAUGAAGCGUAGAAGAUAUGAGAGUAUGGGCCUGAGCAUGCAGGAUGUGCUUUUCCUGGCAAACGACAUUAGUGUGGCUGAGUUUUUUGAUGCAACUAUUGCAAGGGGGGCUGAAGUGAAGCUGGCUGCAAACUGGAUAAUGGGUGAUAUUGCAGCCUACAUGAAAAAUGAGAAGCUAACUAUAAAUGAUAUCAAGCUCACUCCAGAAGAGCUUGCUGAAUUGAUAGCUUCCAUAAAAGGUGGUACCAUUAGUGGAAAGAUCGGGAAAGAGAUCCUUUUCGAGUUGCUAGCUAAAGGUGGAACUGUAAAUGGGCUGAUUAAAGAAAAGGAUUUGGUUCAGAUCGCCGAUCCGGCCGAGAUAGAGAGAAUGGUGGAGAAAGUACUAGCAGAGAAUCCAAAUCAGCUAGAGCAGUACCGUGGUGGCAAAACCAAGCUGCAAGGCUUUUUUGCUGGCCAGGUGAUGAAAGCAUCCAAAGGUAAAGCAAAUCCAGGGCUUCUAAACAAGAUUCUCUUGGAGAAACUAAACGCCAAAAGCUGAUGAUUUUGUUCAAUGACUACUCGAUGAUGAUUGAUAAUCAUGGAUGUUGAAACCCGAGUUGCUCGAGAAGACGCUGACUGUAAAAUAUUGUAGCGAUUUUAGCCUUGUUCCUUCUUCAAGCUCUUCUGAUUCACGUUCUAUUUUAAUCAUAAUAACUCUAAAAUUAUAUGUUUUCCUUAGAGUAAUUCUAUGUUGAGUGACAUUUUAUAAUUUUUCUCGAGAGAGCAAAACGUCUUAAAAGACUAGAAAUAACUUUAUCAA
Molecule: RNA transcript, 2075 nt
Organism: Cucurbita maxima (winter squash)
Lineage: Eukaryota; Viridiplantae; Streptophyta; Magnoliopsida; Cucurbitales; Cucurbitaceae
Gene name: glutamyl-tRNA(Gln) amidotransferase subunit B, chloroplastic/mitochondrial-like
Exons: 10
Source: RefSeq, a predicted model, not a curated record